AUUCAGUGAUGUCAUACACGUAGGAUGAUACUGAAUUAACAAAGGGAGUGGGAGUGAGUGACAGGCAGAGUGAGUAAGAGAAGGUUUUGUUCUGCUGUAAACAGGUAUAAUUCGAGGUCCUGCGCUUUAGAGUAACUGAGAUACUGCUCUAAAUAAAAGAACAAAAUUUUAAUAUCAUGGAAAGGUUUACGAGUCUGUUUCUCAUGUUAUUUCUGUGUUCAGGAUGUGAAGCUGCUGAUGUACAUGAAAUUGUUCCAGAUCCCCUGUCAACAACAACGAAACCGGCAGUAAAAUAACGUGAGAGUCCUAAUUGUGGUAUAUGUGUCGACUUAACUGAGGGAUCGGAAUUCUCCUUCAAACAGUAUCAACGUUUUGCAGUGAAAAACAAUACAUGUGCUUCGGAAAACCUAAUAUAUGUAUUAACUUGCUCAGGGUUUCAAGUACAAUAUAAUUGUCAAACUAAAAACAAUCUACGCCAGAGGAUAACGGUACAUAAAUCACAGAUUAAAAUACGGAAAUACAGAUAAAUAGGAUUAAGUAAGCACAUUGAUAUUUGCGCCACAAACGAACAACCAAAUUUUAGAAUUUUCUCCGCUAUAAUUUCAGGGACAAUGCAAUCUAUAAUCAGCGCAUUAGCGAAGAAGCAUAUUUUAUUGCAAAAUAUAAACCUCGUUUGAAUGCUUACACCACAGAUGAAACUACUACAAGAAUAUAGAACAAUUCCAACAACCAAUGCAACGAUUAUAACAGGUCACUGCUACGUCAUUUGAUCAUUAAAAAAGAUUCCACGAACAA
Octopus bimaculoides (California two-spot octopus) is the source of this 795-nucleotide long non-coding RNA. The record is from RefSeq and is a predicted model, not a curated record. Lineage: Eukaryota; Metazoa; Mollusca; Cephalopoda; Octopoda; Octopodidae.